Molecule: ribosomal RNA, 429 nt
Filed under: bacterium
Lineage: Bacteria
Description: partial 16S ribosomal RNA
Rfam family: Bacterial small subunit ribosomal RNA
Source: RNAcentral
UAGGGAAUCUUCGGCAAUGGGGGCAACCCUGACCGAGCAACGCCGCGUGAGUGAAGAAGGUUUUCGGAUCGUAAAGCUCUGUUGUAAGAGAAGAACGUGUGUGAGAGUGGAAAGUUCACACAGUGACGGUAACUUACCAGAAAGGGACGGCUAACUACGUGCCAGCAGCCGCGGUAAUACGUAGGUCCCGAGCGUUUGCCGGAUUUAUUGGGCGUAAAGAGAGCGCAGGCGGUUUAAUAAGUCUGAAGUUAAAGGCAGUGGCUUAACCAUUGUUCGCUUUGGAAACUGUUAAACUUGAGUGCAGAAGGGGAGAGUGGAAUUCCAUGUGUAGCGGUGAAAUGCGUAGAUAUAUGGAGGAACACCGGUGGCGAAAGCGGCUCUCUGGUCUGUAACUGACGCUGAGGCUCGAAAGCGUGGGGAGCAAACAGG